UAAGAGCAACCAUGUCGCAGCGAGAAAGAAAGCACACAUUUGGAAAUUUAUAUUCAUUAAAUAAAAGUUAAAAAAUAAAAAAUAAAAAAAAUUGAAAAAAAAAGAGAGAAAGCACACAGACUUGGAGUUUGACGUGGCUCUGACACAGGUCAGCUCUGUGGCUCCUGGAAGUACACACUGAAGACCCCACAGACAGUGGCACUGUCAUUGCGUGAUCCACGGUACUCAAAGUGCACGCAGUAACUGCAGGAAUCAAGAAAUCUGGCACCUCGUGCACCAAGCUCAUUUGUGUGUUUUCAAGCAAUUUACACUUGGCCUCUCGUGUUCUGUUCUCGCCUGCAUUGCCCCUGGCACCAGCGUGGGACUGCCUGCAGUGGUGCACCCUCCUGUAGCCAGCCAGGUCAGCUGACAUGGGUCAGCCGUGGUCCCCAAGGAGGUGCAGCCAGAGGCACACUUGGCCGCUCACAGGCACUUGAGUCCAGAGGGAGGAAGCCAGGGUGGCGGAGGGUGGUGGCCGAGCCAGGCUCUGAGGUUCCAGCUGUCUGAUAGCAUUUGCACCCAGUGAGAGCACCAAGACACAGUGCCAGUGAAGGAGGCCCUGGUGCCGCCAUGCAGCGUGAGGAGAGGGGUCUACAGGGCUCUGGGGUUUGCCCAGCAGCCCUCUUCCCCCACAUGUGCCAUAGAGAGAUGACAGCAACACUAACACUGUCCACUGCGGUGCCUGGCAUCCAGUAAGUUAUUAGGAACUGUUGAUAAACUAAUCCAAAGCUUUAAUAAGUGAGAUGAAAAUGAUCUUAGGCCGGUUUAAGCUCACCAGUCAUGGGGCAUUGACCAUGCAUCAGCACAACGCUAAGUUGUUCUCGCUCGCUCAGCCCUGUGAAUAGUUAUCGUACCCGCUGUGCAAACAAGACAACGACAGAUCUCAGACGGGAAGGGAACGGCCCAGGUCAGUGACGUUUCCAAGGCAGGUCUGGGCUGCUGCACAGAUCCGCUGCACGCAGAACCCCUGCUCUGCUCUGCUACUGUCCAGCACCCCCAGGACACCCAACAAGCACCAGGAGGAGGCAGCAGCCACGGGUGCUGUUGGCGCUCAGGUGCAGGGACUGCG
This 1108-nucleotide long non-coding RNA is filed under the name Oryctolagus cuniculus (rabbit). RNAcentral's name for it is "lncRNA (ENSOCUG00000033958.1)". The record is from RNAcentral. Lineage: Eukaryota; Metazoa; Chordata; Mammalia; Lagomorpha; Leporidae.